UACUCAGAACGAACCAUCUUUUAGACUCCUAAUUUAACAUCGUUAAAAACAAGAGAACAAUAACACUCGACCAAUUCCUAAUUCUAAACAACCUAUGGUCUUCUAAUGAUCCGAGUGUAGUAUGUGUACCACCAAAGGCACGUUUCGACCAAGCCUCAUAUACUCCGGCAAUCACUAUCUCAAUUCCGGAUUGAAAAACGGGCCUUGACGACGGCAACGAGAUAGGUAUCAUAUACCCCGGCAAUCACUAUCUCAAUUCCGGAUUGAAAAACGGGCCUUGACGACGGCAACGAGAUAGGUACCACAAGUCGCAGCUUCAAAAGGAGCGGAGUUCCGUACCAUCGCAACAAUUACAUGAGCAUUAUUGGCACUGGGAAGUAAACACCACCUCGCCACAAUAACAAGGACCUUUCCUCCGGUUGACUAUACUGUCGUCGUCAAUCUUUGCAGUGCGUUCGUUCCACUACUCCUCCAAUAGUCUUACCAUCGCAUGGAAGUUGGAUCUAGGUAGAAGAGAUGUCUUCACCGAACAACACGUACGUCGUUGUCUUGAAGCUUUCGUCAGAGAUCUCAAAUAAAGAAAACCGGUGUUGGAGCCAGGUUUCACCCCGCUCUACACUGGUCUGAG
Molecule: long non-coding RNA, 628 nt
Filed under: Brassica napus (rape)
Lineage: Eukaryota; Viridiplantae; Streptophyta; Magnoliopsida; Brassicales; Brassicaceae
Description: long non-coding RNA (BNAP_LNC010336)
Source: RNAcentral